RNAcentral lists this ribosomal RNA (444 nucleotides) under Theileria ovis. Its description in RNAcentral is "SSU rRNA". It matches the Rfam family "Eukaryotic small subunit ribosomal RNA", at positions 513 to 990 of the family's 1831-position model. The record is from RNAcentral. Lineage: Eukaryota; Apicomplexa; Aconoidasida; Piroplasmida; Theileriidae.
AAUGAUGGGAAUUUAAACCUCUUCCAGAGUAUCAAUUGGAGGGCAAGUCUGGUGCCAGCAGCCGCGGUAAUUCCAGCUCCAAUAGCGUAUAUUAAAAUUGUUGCAGUUAAAAAGCUCGUAGUUGAAUUUCUGCUGCAUUGCUUUUGCUCCUUUACGAGUCUUUGCAUUGUGGCUUAUUUCGGACUUUGUUUUACAAUGUCCGGAUGUUUACUUUGAGAAAAUUAGAGUGCUCAAAGCAGGCUUUCGCCUUGAAUAGUUUAGCAUGGAAUAAUAAAGUAGGACUUUGGUUCUAUUUUGUUGGUUUUAGGUACCAAAGUAAUGGUUAAUAGGAACAGUUGGGGGCAUUCGUAUUUAACUGUCAGAGGUGAAAUUCUUAGAUUUGUUAAAGACGAACUACUGCGAAAGCAUUUGCCAAGGAUGUUUUCAUUAAUCAAGAACGAAAGU